Equus caballus (horse) is the source of this 1732-nucleotide long non-coding RNA. The record is from Ensembl. NCBI's taxonomy places the organism in Eukaryota, Metazoa, Chordata, Mammalia, Perissodactyla, Equidae.
UCCCAACUUUCAAAGAAGAAUAUACACCUAGACAUAAAUCGCCACUGUUGAACCGCGUAACAGGCUACAGCAGCUGUUUGCUUUCCGGCUCUGAGCUCUGCACCCACGAUGGCCUGUGCCGUUUACCCAGCGAGCUCUGCUAGCUGCCUGGCUGGAAUCUGUUCCGGGUUGGGAGUUGUCAUUGGAGAGCACGUUUUAACCCUCUUCCUCGUGGUAAAUGUGGACCGUUUGUUGUUCGGCAUUUGGAUCGGGAACAAGGCCCCUACCACGCACCUCUAAGAACAAAGAUGGUACCUAUUCACCCCGACCCAGACUUCUUCGACCCUAGCAAGAUGGAAAGUUGGCAUCAGAGGAGCGGAGAGACUCACGUCAUUCUAAGAGUCAGUACUGACUGCUUAAUGCUCCCGCGAGUUCCUCCAGAAGCAACACCCAAGCACGCAAGUGUUGGAUUUUGUCCAAGAGAGCAUGUAAUUUAUGAAGGAAGUGUACGUCAUUCACAUUUUCCAGAAAAGAGGACAAAAAACAGCAGAGAGAGCCUAGGACACAAUGACUCCAGUACACAUGAGGACAUCCAGCACCCAGCUCUUAGUGUCUGUUACUGGUCUCCAAUAAAAGGAACUAGAACUCCUUGGGGAAAUGCCUGAUUCUAGGUCUUGGCAGGAAAUACGCAAAAUGGGCCUGGAGCAUCUUAUAGUGCCAAAAUGUAAGGAAGUGCCAAAAAAUAAAAGGCAAACAAUGAUGAAGAUAUAUCAAAGGGAGACAGGAGACAACUGGAAGAGGUUCUAACGGCUAAAGUCGGAAGAAUUUGAACAACAAAAUAAAGAAAGUAGUAUUGGAUUAUAACCCAAAGAAAAAAAUAAAUAUCCAUGAGUACAUACUGAUAUAAAUUAAUAAUUUAAUAUAGAAAUAACUUGGAGAAAAUAGACAAUUAUCCCAUGCAGAAGAAUCUCAAAUAAUUUAUUGGAAUAUAUAUAUAUUCCGUUCUUAAGCAGGUGGAACAUACAUGCCCACCUCUCAAGUAUGGGCUAAGCAUAGUGACUUCCUUCCAAAGAAUGCAAUAUUGAAAGAGAGAGGGAAUGAAGAGUAAAUUUACAGCAGAGAAAGCUGACAAACACUUCCCCAAGCCAGGUGAUCAAGGUUAACAUCAUGGUAAGUUAUUUUGAUAAUGUUCCACUUUGAUAUUAUGUGAUGAGAAUGGCAAUUUACCUUUGUGGUCUUGAUCCCAAGAAAUGCAUUACUCCAGUCUAAGCAUAAGAAAAAAACAUCAGACAAAUUCCAGUUGAGAGAGAUUCUAUGGAACAGUUGACCAGUAAACCUCAAAACUGUCAAGAUUGAUGGAAACAAGGAAAGUCUGAGAAACUGUCACAACCAAGAGUAGCCUAAAUCAACAUGACUAUUAAUAUAAUGCAGUAUCCUGUAUGGGAUCCUGGAACAACAACCAAAAAAAGGGCAUUAGGUAAAACCUAAGGAAAUCUGAAUAAAGUAUGGACUUUAGUCUGUAAUAAUGUACCAACUGUGUUUGACAAAUUGUGGCACAUAAAUUAUACUUAUGUAAUGAGAAACUGGGUUUGGGGUAUACGGGAAAUCUUUGUACCAUCUUUGCAAUAAUUCUGUAAAUGUAAAAUUGUUCUAAAAUUAAAAGUUUAUUAAAAUAUGCACUAGAAAAUGUUUUAAAUAGAAAAAAUGAUUAAAUACUUCAUGGGUGUGUUACUCAAUGUUUUCUUAAGUGUGG